CAGAGACAUCCAAAAUCAUUUGACGUCCAUGGUCAAGUCAUAUUAAAUACCGAGUUCCUGCGUACUGUUACCAUAGAGUAUCAGUCGCUCCAACUUAUGGGUAACGAGUACACGGUGCCAGAAUAUAUGCUCGAGUGGGUCAUAGGAUUGUUGCCGAGUGUCGAGGGAAAAUCAUGUGAGGGUUGUACACAUAUGUACAUUCCAGCAUACAUCAAUAAGCACUAUGUUACGCAGGAAAUCGUUUUUGCUGACACGACUAUAUAUGUGUACGACCCAAAUCAUUCAAGUUUGACGCAAGGUCAGCUGGAGCAAAACCUGGAGUCCGUAGCUGUAAUUGUUCCUAUGAUGGUCAGAUAAGUGGGGAUGACUGUACAGGAUAGAUUGCGGAUUGUUCAGAACACGACGACAUCGCAACAAUUCGUAAGGUAAAUGUUUGAACUUUGUUAUUUUCAUUUUUUAGAUUUAGUUUUUUAGCUACACAGUACUGAACUGAUCAAUUUUUGUUCAAUUGUAGCGGCGACUGCGGCAUAUUUGUCAUUAAGUACGUUAAAUUUUUAAGUAUAGGACAUAUGGUUGAUGGAAUCAACCAAUCGUGGAUACAGAACUGGAGAAAAAAGCUAGUAUGUGAUUUGUUCGAAUUUAA
RNAcentral lists this long non-coding RNA (643 nucleotides) under Olea europaea subsp. europaea. Lineage: Eukaryota; Viridiplantae; Streptophyta; Magnoliopsida; Lamiales; Oleaceae. The record is from RNAcentral.